This 301-nucleotide ribosomal RNA is filed under the name uncultured bacterium. RNAcentral's name for it is "partial 16S ribosomal RNA". It matches the Rfam family "Bacterial small subunit ribosomal RNA", at positions 509 to 807 of the family's 1533-position model. The record is from RNAcentral.
CAGCAGCCGCGGGAACACGAAGGGUGCAAGCGUUAAUCGGAAUUACUGGGCGUAAAGCGUGCGUAGGCGGUUUGUUAAGUCUGUUGUGAAAUCCCCGGGCUCAACCUGGGAAUGGCAAUGGAUACUGGCAAGCUAGAGUGUGUCAGAGGAUGGUGGAAUUCCCGGUGUAGCGGUGAAAUGCGUAGAGAUCGGGAGGAACAUCAGUGGCGAAGGCGGCCAUCUGGGACAACACUGACGCUGAGGCACGAAAGCGUGGGGAGCAAACAGGAUUAGAUACCCGGGUAGUCCCUGUCUCUUAUAC